GCAUAUCAAUAAGCGGAGGAAAAGAAACUAACAAGGAUUCCCCUAGUAACGGCGAGUGAAGCGGGAACAGCUCAAAUUUUAAAUCUGGCUGCUCCGCAGUCCGAGUUGUAAUUUGAAGGCGUCUGUCGCAUGUGAGACGAUGGCACAAGUCCUCUGGAACGUGGCAUCGUAGAGGGUGAGAAUCCCGUCUCUGGUCGUUGUCUUGCAGGCACACGGCAGGCGAUCCGAAGAGUCGAGUUGUUUGGGAUUGCAGCUCCAAAUGGGUGGUAAACUCCAUCUAAGGCUAAAUAUUGGCGAGAGACCGAUAGCGAACAAGUACCGUGAGGGAAAGAUGAAAAGAACUUUGAAAAGAGAGUAAAACAGUACGUGAAAUUGUUGAAAGGGAAACGCUUGAAGUCAGUCGUGCCGGCGGGGAUUCAGCGAACUUCGCGGAGUGAGCGUAUUUCCUCGCAUGGCAGGUCAGCGUCAGUUUUGCGCGUCGUGAAAGGGCUCGGGUAAGGUGACUCUCUUCGGGGAGUGUUAUAGGCCUGAGCAGAUGCGAUGCGCGGGACUGAGGAUUGCAGCGGACACCCUUCGGGGCGCGGCGACCGAUCCCUGCUCUGUCACCUUCGUCCGAUAGCGUGCUAACGGUCGGGGGAGCGGCGGUUGCACCGGGUUGGCAAGCCGGCGGCUUCGCUAAGGAUGCUGACGUAAUGGCUUUAAACGAC
RNAcentral lists this ribosomal RNA (707 nucleotides) under uncultured Paraglomus. RNAcentral's name for it is "eukaryotic LSU rRNA". It matches the Rfam family "Eukaryotic large subunit ribosomal RNA", at positions 38 to 648 of the family's 3401-position model. The record is from RNAcentral. Lineage: Eukaryota; Fungi; Glomeromycota; Glomeromycetes; Paraglomerales; Paraglomeraceae.